UAGCAAACAAAUGCAUUAGAAUUAGAAUCUAA
This 32-nucleotide transfer RNA is filed under the name Myrmarachne sp. F FSC-2006. Its description in RNAcentral is "partial tRNA-Leu". The record is from RNAcentral. Lineage: Eukaryota; Metazoa; Arthropoda; Arachnida; Araneae; Salticidae.